CUUUGGUGAUGAGUUUUAACUUCGGUCCGUGUUUCUGAAACCUGAUUAUACUAGAAGUUCUGAAAGG
Molecule: small nucleolar RNA, 67 nt
Organism: Oncorhynchus kisutch (coho salmon)
Lineage: Eukaryota; Metazoa; Chordata; Actinopteri; Salmoniformes; Salmonidae
Gene: SNORD18
Rfam family: Small nucleolar RNA SNORD18
About the family: U18 is a member of the C/D class of snoRNA which contain the C (UGAUGA) and D (CUGA) box motifs. It is encoded in introns of ribosomal protein L1 in Xenopus and human, and in introns of elongation factor 1 beta in yeast. Related snoRNAs in Arabidopsis and rice have been named R63 and Z106 respectively.
Source: Ensembl